UACGGAGGGUGCAAGCGUUAUCCGGAAUCACUGGGUUUAAAGGGUGCGUAGGCGGCUUGGUAAGUCAGGGGUGAAAGCUUCCCGCUCAACGGGAGAACUGCCCUUGAUACUGCCAGGCUCGAAUUGGGUUGAGGCAGGCGGAAUGUGGCAUGUAGCGGUGAAAUGCUUAGAUAUGCCAUAGAACACCAAUUGCGAAGGCAGCUUGCCAAACCUCGAUUGACGCUGAGGCACGAAAGCGUGGGGAGCAAACAGG
RNAcentral lists this ribosomal RNA (253 nucleotides) under uncultured bacterium. RNAcentral describes it as "partial 16S ribosomal RNA". It matches the Rfam family "Bacterial small subunit ribosomal RNA", at positions 524 to 776 of the family's 1533-position model. The record is from RNAcentral.